This 275-nucleotide ribosomal RNA is filed under the name uncultured bacterium. RNAcentral describes it as "partial 16S ribosomal RNA". It matches the Rfam family "Bacterial small subunit ribosomal RNA", at positions 338 to 604 of the family's 1533-position model. The record is from RNAcentral.
CCUACGGGUGGCUGCAGUGGGGAAUCUUGCGCAAUGGGCGAAAGCCUGACGCAGCAACGCCGCGUGUGUGAUGAAGGUCUUCGGAUCGUAAAGCACUGUCGGCAGGAACGAUGGUUUGCAUGAGUAAUAUGCAUGCAGAUUGACGGUACCUGCAAAGGAAGCACCGGCUAACUCUGUGCCAGCAGCCGCGGUAAUACAGAGGGUGCAAGCGUUGUUCGGAAUCAUUGGGCGUAAAGCGCACGUAGGCGGCCUUGCAAGUCAGGUGUGAAAGCCUG